GCGAAUGUAGUUUAAUGGUAGAACUUCUGCCUUCCAAGCAGAGAGUGAGGGUUCGAUUCCCUUCAUUCGCUCCA
This 74-nucleotide transfer RNA is filed under the name Bacillus cereus. RNAcentral describes it as "tRNA-Gly". It matches the Rfam family "tRNA". From Rfam's summary of the family: Transfer RNA (tRNA) molecules are approximately 80 nucleotides in length. The record is from RNAcentral. Lineage: Bacteria; Bacillati; Bacillota; Bacilli; Caryophanales; Bacillaceae. RNAcentral also lists the same sequence under 1 other name.